CAGUGCAAAAUGUGCAUGCAGUUUGUUGGUGCUACGCUGUACACGGAGUUAGAUGCUAAAGAAGAGAAUAAUUAAACAGUAAAGCGUUACAGCAACUCCUAGAUUUCUGGUCGGAAGGCGCACACGUUUUUCACGGUGUUUGAUGGUGUUUGAUGGUGAUUGAAUGCGCUUAAGUUGUGAAGGAAUGCAAUUAAAGAAACGACAAACAUCAGUUGAAGCGUACGUUUUAAUCUGACCAGAAGAAUAAGUUUGGGAGCAGCUACACACUCCACUGCCAUAUCAUACUCGUCCGUCUGAAUCCCAAGUAGAAAAGUUUGAGGGCGCCACCGCGAGCCCUGGAACAGAGCCAAACGUGCGAGCUUGGCUUCAUACAAGUUGUUUAAUGAUUCAGCUCCCAAACUGCUGGAAAUGUGGGACGGGUUCUAACUCUUCACCAAAACUGCUUUAUCCUGGAGAAGAGGUUUGAGAUGAGACUCCUGUCAUACGCCGGUCCUGUUUACAGUGUGGAUCCUUCAGUAGAUCAGAGAGCAGCUUCACUCCUGAUUUUCCUGGAUUAUUACCCUUCAGAUCCAGCGAUACUGUCUCACUGCCAAUCAGCGAUACCGUCUCACUGCCAGUCGACGAUACCGUUUCACUGCCAAUCAACAAUACCGCCUCACUGCCAUGAGUUAAUCCAUCCAUCCAUCCAUCCAUCUUCUAUACCACUUACUUCUUUUCAGGGUCACGGGGGAACCUGGAGCCUAUCCCAGGGAGCAUCGUGCACAAGGCGGGGUACACCCUGGACAGGGUGCCAGUCCAUCACAGGGCACACAAACACAUACACAUUCACACACCCAUUCAUACACUAUGGACACUUUGGACAUGCCAUUCAGCCUACCAUGCAUGUCUUUGGACGGGGGAGGAAACCGGAGUACCCGGAGGAAACCCCCGCAGCACGGGGAGAACAUGCAGACUCCGCACACACAUGGUCAUGGUGGGAAUCAUAUGUGUAUGUGUGUGUUUUAUAAAAAAUGGUAAGCUUCUUAAAGUCUGAAACAGUUUGGCUGAGUGGGUUUGGACUGUGUGUGUGUGUGUGUGUGUGUGUGUGCGCGCGCGCGCGCACAGUGAGUUCAUGAUAAAAGUUUC
Long non-coding RNA from Ictalurus punctatus (channel catfish), 1125 nucleotides. Lineage: Eukaryota; Metazoa; Chordata; Actinopteri; Siluriformes; Ictaluridae. The record is from Ensembl.